Long non-coding RNA from Myripristis murdjan (pinecone soldierfish), 1815 nucleotides. RefSeq lists it as uncharacterized. The record is from RefSeq and is a predicted model, not a curated record. The transcript is spliced from 3 exons. Lineage: Eukaryota; Metazoa; Chordata; Actinopteri; Holocentriformes; Holocentridae.
GGUUUUUUCCUGUCUUCCCUCCUUUCCAACUCUGCAUGUGAUUGAGAGAAAGACGGAGAACGAGAGAGAGAAAGAGAGAGACAGAAAACAAUGUGAGGGAAAGAGCAAAAGGGGGAAAGAAAGCGAAGCAAGACAACAGAUCAGCAGGCGUGAACUCAUUCAUUUUGUCCUUUAACUCUGGAUUUGGGGUUUGUGUGUGUGUGUGUGUGAGUGUGUGUGUUUGCGUGUGUGUGUGUGUGUGUGUGUGUGUGUGUGUCGGCUCGUUGUGUUUUUUUUUUUUUUCCCUCCAACCUGCCCUGGACCUGUAGGUUUGGAUAUGAAGUAAGUAGAGGCUGGGGAGCAAGGAAAGGCAAAUGUGUGUGUGUGUGUGUGUGUGUGUGUGUGUGUGUGUGUGUGUGUGUGUGUGCCCCCCCUCCUUUUUCUCUCUUCAGUGAGGCAGCAGACUGGUAUGCCUCACUGGCACUGUGGCCCUGGCUGCAAGCACCGCUUCUGUUCAUUCGAUGCUCGCUCUUUAUUUUCUCUCUCUCUCUCUCUCUCUCUCUCUCUCUCUCUCUCUCUCUCUCACUUGCUCGCUCUCUCCGUUUACCUGCUCAAUCCAUCCUUUAAUUAUCACUUCCUUUCAGCGUUUCGUUUUCUGGGAAAAGGAAUCGUCUCGCCGUACCCCCCCUCCCUCACCCCCCUCUCAGACUGCUCACUCUUGCUGUGUGUGUGUGAGACAGAGAGAGAGAGAGAGAGAGAAAGAGGGAGAGGGAGAGAGAGAGAGAGAGAGAGAGAGAGAGAGGGGGAGAGAGUGCACAUGGUUCAUUCCGGCUCAGUCCUACCACCCAUCCUCAUGCCUCGCUUUUCUCGUUUCCAUCCGUCGCUCUCUUUCGUCCGUUGGCCCGGCUCGUCGCUGGACUCGGGGGGGGGGGGCGUCUCGCUGGACGGACCGCCGGCGAGCGAGCUAGAAGAACAACGAACAUGGGCAUCCUGGUCCGGGAUCAAACCCGGGGGGUGGGGGCACAUAAUUCAGUCAAAAGCCCAUGUAUGGAUGACUAAGGGGCGAGGCAGAGACAGCUCCUUGUGGCCCUGCAGGCCUCGGUGUCGGUGUCGUCCCGCUCCGGGUCAGGUCGGACUGAAAGAGAGGCUGGAAAUCCCCGCAUGAAUCAACAUUUUAACACUUUACUGCCACGUCAACCAAAACUGUAGAAAGCGUGGUUUGGGAGUUUGAAGGAGCGAGCUGCCUCUCUCUGCCACGAGCACGCUGGCCCCACUCAGCAUUUCUGAUCGUUCUCUGCCUCAACAGCCUUGAUACAAUCAAAGUUGUGCAAACGCAAUCAGCUAUUGUAUGUCCAUCUGGACACAGAGAUUUGAUUUGGGGGUUUCAAGUUGCUUUUUUUUUUCUUUCUUUCUGUCUUUCUUUGUCAUUUCUUGUAACUGAAGUGGCACAUUUUUUAAAGCAUAGUGUUGCCAGUCCAGUUUAUGAUGAUGGGCUUUUCACUCAGGAGCUGCGUAUGUUUUGAUUUUUAGUAACAUUUUGUUUUUUACACUGGAGACAAUUAAUUUACACACAUACCCUGCUUAUAUAUCCAUAUACCUAUACUGCAUAUGCCCUAUAUAUUUUUCUGCUGCUUUCUAUCGCUUCUUUUCAAAGUCUUUGUCUAUUUUUAUUAUUAUAAGUCUCUCACGUAGCUAAUAUCAUCUGAAUCUUUGUGAAAUACAAAAUUAGAAUUUGAAUCUGCCAGAUUACUAUUUUUAAGCAAUCUGGCAGACAAGGACUAUUUUUUCUGAGCAUAUUUUUAUAUAUAUAUAGAUAUAUAAAGAUAUAUAGAUAUA